CAGCCGCCGCGGGAAUACGGAAGGUCCAGGCGUUAUCCGGAUUUAUUGGGUUUAAAGGGAGCGUAGGCGGAUUAUUAAGUCAGUGGUGAAAGGCUGUGGCUCAACCAUAGUUCGCUUUGGAAACUGUCAAACUUGAGUGCAGAAGGGGAGAGUGGAAUUCCAUGUGUAGCGGUGAAAUGCGUAGAUAUAUGGAGGAACACCGGUGGCGGAAACGGCUCUCUGGUCUGUAACUGACGCUGAGGCUCGAAAGCGUGGGGAGCGAACAGGAUUAGAUACCCGCGUAGUCCCUGUCUCUUAUACA
Molecule: ribosomal RNA, 301 nt
Filed under: uncultured bacterium
Lineage: Bacteria
Description: partial 16S ribosomal RNA
Rfam family: Bacterial small subunit ribosomal RNA
Source: RNAcentral